This 253-nucleotide ribosomal RNA is filed under the name uncultured bacterium. Its description in RNAcentral is "partial 16S ribosomal RNA". It matches the Rfam family "Archaeal small subunit ribosomal RNA", at positions 474 to 727 of the family's 1478-position model. The record is from RNAcentral.
UACCAGCACCCCGAGUGGUCGGGCCGAUUAUUGGGCCUAAAGCAUCCGUAGCCGGUUCUACAAGUCUUCCGUUAAAUCCACCUGCUUAACAGAUGGGCUGCGGAAGAUACUAUAGAGCUAGGAGGCGGGAGAGGCAAGCGGUACUCGAUGGGUAGGGGUAAAAUCCGUUGAUCCAUUGAAGACCACCAGUGGCGAAGGCGGCUUGCCAGAACGCGCUCGACGGUGAGGGAUGAAAGCUGGGGGAGCAAACCGG